GUACGGAAGGCAGCAGUGAGGAAUCUUGCGCAAUGGGCGAAAGCCUGACGCAGCGACGCCGCGUGACUGAUGAAGUCUUUCGGGAUGUAAAAGUCUUUUCUGAGGGAAGAAGGAUGUGACGGUACCUCAGGAAUAAGCCCCGGCUAACUACGUGCCAGCAGCCGCGGUAAUACGUAGGGGGCGAGCGUUGUCCGAAUUCACUGGGCGUAAAGCGCGCGUAGGCGGGUUUUUAAGUUGUGGGUGAAAUCCCGGGGCUCAACUCCGGAACUGCCUGCAAAACUGGAAGCCUUGAGGUAUGGAGAGGGAAGUGGAAUUCCUGGUGUAGCGGUGAAAUGCGUAGAUAUCAGGAGGAACACCCGUGGCGAAGGCGGCUUCCUGGCCAUAUCCUGACGCUGAGGUGCGAAAGCUAGGGGAGCGAACGGGAUUAGAUACCCUCGUAU
RNAcentral lists this ribosomal RNA (440 nucleotides) under uncultured bacterium. RNAcentral describes it as "bacterial SSU rRNA". It matches the Rfam family "Bacterial small subunit ribosomal RNA", at positions 339 to 793 of the family's 1533-position model. The record is from RNAcentral.